GGCAACCGCGCGAUUCGAGUGACAAGUGCGGAUUUUCGCUGUUUAUCAAUUCGCAUUGAAAACAAAAGUAAAGAAAUUUGCAAGAAUCUUUAAGCUCAUUUACGUUCAGUGAUAUCUUUUACAACGGGAUUAACUCCAUCUCUUGUUUACAUCCGAGUUAAUUGCAACGUACCUCCAAAUUUCCUGACGAAACCACUUGAAUUUUCGCUCGUCGAUCUACAUUCUCAUGCUCGGCGUAAACUUAUGUGCGAACUCGACUGCAUUUAAUGGCUGCUAGUGUCAUUGUUAUCAAUUUUUCUCGUCUUAUUGAUAAUGCGACAUGGACACUUCUGUCAGUUGUGUGUUAUGCGGAGCUGUAGACAGAUUAUGGCGAUGUGCUAAGUGCAAAAGUGUGUUCUAUUGUAGCAAAAAACAUCAAACCCAGGAUUGGAAAAAUCACAAAGCUAACUGUGUGAGCCAUGCUGAGCAUGUAAAUUCUAGCAAGAAAGCCGAAAUAUCCGAAAAUAACGCUGGAAACGUCCACAGUAACUCUGUCACAAGUGUUUCUACAACAACUGUUCUAUCUUCUAUCGAAGUUAAUGAUAGUCAGAAAUCUAGUCGUGCAAGUAAAUCACUAACCUCAAAAGUAAUAAGUACUAGUCCCGAAAGUAGCUCUGAUAAAAGUAUUCUAAAACCACGGGCUGAACCUGGUAACAUUAAAUUAAAAGAUAACGACGCAAGCGAACAUAAGCCCAAUAAUCUUAAGUGUGCAAAAUCUAAUUUUGCUGAUGUUCCUUUAGAUGCUGAAUUGUAUCAAAAGAGCAAUCUAGUGCUGAAAAAUUUUUCGGAAGUCAAAUUAGAUAGCUCCACAGCAAUGCCACCUUAUUUACAUCGCGAAGAUGAUGUAGCGCAGCAGACGUUAAUGGAAGAAAUCUGCCGGAAUGUGAUCGCAGACAUGGAUGCAUAUGGAGUGUGUGUAGUUGACAAUUUUUUAGGAGCAACACGAGGCAUGGCUGUAUUAGAGGAAGUCAUCGGAAUGUAUCAAACGGGUAUUUUCAAAGAUGGUCAGUUAGUCAGCAAUAAAGCAAGGAAUGAUCUGAGAACUAUUCGAGGGGACCAGAUCACGUGGAUAGAUGGUACAGAAGAAUCUUGUCACAACAUAGGAAUGUUGAUAAGUCGAGUGGAUUCAAUUAUUAUUCGUGCAAACCAACUUCCGAACAACGGUAAAAUGGGCAACUACACCAUCAAUGGUAGAACUAAGGCAAUGGUAGCUUGUUACCCUGGACAUGGAUCGCACUAUGUGAAACACGUUGACAAUCCUAACAGAGAUGGUCGCUGUAUCACAGCAAUUUAUUAUCUUAACAGGGACUGGGAUAUUCAGCACAAUGGAGGGUUAUUGAGAAUUUUUCCAGAAGGAUGGAGUCACCAAGUUGCUGAUAUUGAACCUCUGUUCGACAGGAUUUUAUUUUUCUGGUCUGACCGUCGCAAUCCCCAUGAAGUACAACCAGCAUUUAAAACUAGAUAUGCAAUAACGUUGUGGUACUUUGAUGCAACGGAACGAGCAGAAGCAAGUAGGCGAUAUCAACAAACGCUAACAUCCACCUAACACUAUCAUCAACACACAAAGAAAACAAACUGGAUUGAAGCUACAAACCAUUGAAUGCCUCUAACUAGAAUGGACCUCUAGACAAGGAGAUAUGAGUGGUGUCGCGCAGAACUAGCAGUACUGGAAGGAGCUCAGAGUCUCUCGACAAGUCAAACGAAUUAGAUCUGAGUCAUGAAGGUGGCGCCUCCUAAAACUUAGCUCUAAGAAUUUUCGUAUAUUUUAAAACGAGUGUAAAUAAUGUGUAAAUAAGCAAUGUUAACUCUAAGAUUUCUUUAUUUUUUUCAAGCCUGUACAAUGUGUACUUAGUUUCUCGACAGAGUAUCUUGCCCAGGGUUUUAAAGGUCAAUAUUUCAGUCAGAUUUUAACUUAAAAUUAGUAUAAUUCCCUAUUGUUCAUCCGAAUCUCUACAAAAAUUGCCUUUUUUCAUCAAGUUAAAGGAGUUCAAUGAAAUAUAUGUAAAUCAAAUGAAGAUUAACGGCCAGGCAAAUUUCUCAGGAAAUUUUCAGCUUGAGGCAGCCUUUUGAUUAGGUUACCCAAUAUUUCAAAUCUUUCUUAAUUUUGCAAUUUUCAAAUUCUGAAACCAUUUCUUGGAAAGUUAACUGAGAGGCAGUUUUCAUAGAGAGAAGAAAAUUAUGUUUCGUAAUUGCAGCACUGUGAUGAAGUUACUCAGGCUUAGAAGUUAACAUGGACAUUAAUUAAGAAUUGCUGCCAAUACUUUUUCUUGGGUUCCAUGUCAACUCAACCAGGUUCGGAACGGACCCCCUCCAAUUUUGCUUAAUAUGGGAGCACAUCACCGCAAGAAUUUCUUUUAAAGAAUUUUCCCCUCCAACACUCUGUUCGUGAGAUAUCAGCCCUUAAAGAUCAGGUGAAUCCUAGCAAAAUUCAUAAAAGUCCAUUUUUGCGAUUUUCAUUUUCUCGACUUCCCGCUCUUUGUCUUUGCAUGAUGGCACUUGACGUCAUGGAACGACAAAGAGAUGGAAAUCAAGAGAAUGAAAGUAGGGAUAACAGGUUUUUCAAUUAUUGCUAAAAUUCAUAUCAUCUUUAUGGGAUAUCUUGAGAACGGAGUGUGGGAGGAGAGAACCCUUCAAAUGAGCCUCUGAGAAUGAUGAUAAACCCUGCAUACUAAUAUUAAGCUAUGUAUAUCGGAGGGAGUGGGGUUCUGAACCUGGUUGAGUUGACAUGAAUAACCCUCCUUGGUCUAAUGAAAUUCAGCGGACUUAAACAAGUGAACGCUUUGCAAGGAAUUUUUUUUUAUCGGAAUCGGAGUAUAUCAUGUUAUAUCUUAUGAGUUUCAUCUUGAGCUCAAUAUUUGCUGCAUCCGAGGGCUUUUUGAAGCCCUGGGCUAGAGACUUAAAUAAUCAUGAAUGUUCUGUUUUGUUAAAUGUUUGGGCAACAAACAUUACAGAAAUUUAUUACGUUUGAACUUUUUAACCCUGGUUGCUCCAACUAUUAUAUCUUUUAUUAACCAUCCAUGUUUACACUGUUGAUGCUAACUGAGAAGAAUUUUACUUUAUUUUGAAACUGCCUCAAGUGAGAGUGGAAACUUAAAUGAUGCAUGGUCUCGUCAGCUAUUAUUGGUUGUAGCAACUUGGGUUCAGCUACAUCUCUCAACCUAUGACACAUCUGUUCGUCAGCUGAGCCAAUUUAUUUCGUGGUUGCACUGGUAUUGCACAUAAGUGACCUUUGUAAACCCUGCUGAGAGGAGAGAAGGGUAAUUUGUCUCUCUGACAUGUUGGAUCAUCGCAGGCUUAUCAAGUUUGGCCUGUUUCCUUGGGAUAUACUUAAACACGCUUGUAAGCGUGCGUAUUUCAUUUGUAUCUUUUUUAACUGGUUCUCUUUUCUUAAAUUUAGCAAAUAAAAUUGUUUCAACGUUA
This is an RNA transcript of Bemisia tabaci, 3459 nucleotides long. It is a transcript of the gene named HIF prolyl hydroxylase, with no coding region annotated. Lineage: Eukaryota; Metazoa; Arthropoda; Insecta; Hemiptera; Aleyrodidae. The record is from RefSeq and is a predicted model, not a curated record.